UCUCCGCUUGCGCGGGCAGUCUUUUUAGAGUCCCCAGCUUAACCUGUUGGCAACUAAAAAUAGGGGUUGCGCUCGUUGCGGGACUUAACCUAACAUCUCACGACACGAGCUGACGACGGCCAUGCAUCACCUGUCACUUGGUUCCCGAAGGCACACUCUGCUUUCGCAGUGAUUCCAAGGAUGUCAAGCCUGGGUAAGGUUCUUCGCUUACCAUCGAAUUAAACAACACGCUCCACCGCUUGUGCGGGUCCCCGUCAAUUCCUUUAUGUUUUAGUCUUGCGACCGUACUCCACAGGUGGGAUGCUUAACGCGUUAGCUUCGCUACUAGAAGGGUCGAUACUCCUAACAGCUAGCAUCCAUAGUUUACAGCGUGGACUAC
Molecule: unclassified non-coding RNA, 379 nt
Filed under: uncultured bacterium
Lineage: Bacteria
Description: contains 16S-23S intergenic spacer region
Source: RNAcentral